AGUGAACGCUGGCGGUAGGCCUAACACAUGCAAGUCGAACGGCAGCACAGUAAGAGCUUGCUCUUACGGGUGGCGAGUGGCGGACGGGUGAGGAAUACAUCGGAAUCUACUUUUUCGUGGGGGAUAACGUAGGGAAACUUACGCUAAUACCGCAUACGACCUACGGGUGAAAGCAGGGGAUCUUCGGACCUUGCGCGAUUGAAUGAGCCGGUGUCGGAUUAGCUAGUUGGCGGGGUAAAGGCCCACCAAGGCGACGAUCCGUAGCUGGUCUGAGAGGAUGAUCAGCCACACUGGAACUGAGACACGGUCCAGACUCCUAAGGGAGGCAGCAGUGGGGAAUAUUGGACAAUGGGCGCAAGCCUGAUCCAGCCAUACCGCGUGGGUGAAGAAGGCCUUCGGGUUGUAAAGCCCUUUUGUUGGGAAAGAAAAGCAGCAGGUUAAUACCCCGCUGUUCUGACGGUACCCAAAGAAUAAGCACCGGCUAACUUCGUG
This 492-nucleotide ribosomal RNA is filed under the name uncultured bacterium. RNAcentral describes it as "partial 16S ribosomal RNA". It matches the Rfam family "Bacterial small subunit ribosomal RNA", at positions 29 to 507 of the family's 1533-position model. The record is from RNAcentral.